Molecule: small nuclear RNA, 142 nt
Filed under: Aureobasidium pullulans EXF-150
Lineage: Eukaryota; Fungi; Ascomycota; Dothideomycetes; Dothideales; Saccotheciaceae
Description: U4 spliceosomal RNA
Rfam family: U4 spliceosomal RNA
About the family: U4 small nuclear RNA (U4 snRNA) is a component of the major U2-dependent spliceosome.
Source: Rfam by way of RNAcentral
CUCUCAGUGCAAGGGCUUUACGCGCAUCAGUGAGGAUUCGUCCGAGAUCGUGUUUUUGCUAGUUGAAAACUAUCAACUGACUGCUCCAUUUGGCGCAAGUCGAAUGGGAAUUUUUGGAACACAACAACAACAACAUAUUUGU